RNAcentral lists this ribosomal RNA (433 nucleotides) under uncultured bacterium. RNAcentral's name for it is "partial 16S ribosomal RNA". It matches the Rfam family "Bacterial small subunit ribosomal RNA", at positions 29 to 507 of the family's 1533-position model. The record is from RNAcentral.
AACGAACGCUGGCGGCAUGCCUAACACAUGCAAGUCGAGCGAGACCUUCGGGUCUAGUGGCGCACGGGUGCGUAACGCGUGGGAACCUGCCCUUAGGUUCGGAAUAACUCCCCGAAAGGGGUGCUAAUACCGGAUAAUGUCUUCGGACCAAAGAUUUAUCGCCUUUGGAUGGGCCCGCGUUGGAUUAGCUAGUUGGUAGGGUAAAAGCCUACCAAGGCGACGAUCCAUAGCUGGUCUGAGAGGAUGAUCAGCCACACUGGGACUGAGACACGGCCCAGACUCCUACGGGAGGUAGCAGUGGGGAAUAUUGGACAAUGGGCGAAAGCCUGAUCCAGCAAUGCCGCGUGAGUGAUGAAGGCCUUAGGGUUGUAAAGCUCUUUUACCCGGGAUGAUAAUGACAGUACCGGGAGAAUAAGCUCCGGCUAACUCCGUG